RNAcentral lists this transfer-messenger RNA (362 nucleotides) under pig gut metagenome. It matches the Rfam family "transfer-messenger RNA". From Rfam's summary of the family: Bacterial tmRNA, also known as 10Sa RNA or SsrA, is named for its dual tRNA and mRNA-like properties. The record is from RNAcentral.
GGGGGCGAACUGGGUUCGACCGGGCGGGCGAAGCGUGAAUUGCGCGUCGAGGUUGAUCGGUGGGCCUCGUUAAAAGCCGAUUAAAAAUUUCAAUUGCCAAUAACAAAAUGGCUUUGGCUGCCUGAGAAUAGGCAACCCCGAAUAUGAUUCUUAGCCGAAGAGAUGAAGUAUUUGGUCGCUAAAUUCGGAUCGUUUGCCGUCGCGUCGAACACGCGGCGAACUAAAUAAAGCUUUCGAAUCGUCCUUGAGAAACCGUCGUCGAUAAGGGUUCAAAGGGAUUAAACUCUAAAGAAUCGACUACACGCGUAGACGUUCUCGUAGAGACGUCGCGGGACGCGGGUUCAAUUCCCGCCGCCUCCACU